GUAGGUGGCAAGCGUUGUCCGGGAAUUAUUGGGGCCGUAAAGCGCGCGCAAGGCGGUUCUUUUAAGUCUGAUGUGAAAGCCCACGGGCUCAACCGUGGAGGGUCAUUGGAAACUGGAGAACUUGAGUACAGAAGAGGAAAGCGGAAUUCCACGUGUAGCGGUGAAAUGCGUAGAGAUGUGGAGGAACACCAGUGGCGAAGGCGGCUUUCUGGUCUGUAACUGACGCUGAGGCGCGAAAGCGUGGGGAGCAAACAGGAUUAGAUACCCUGGUAGUCCACGCCGUAAACGAUGAGUGCUAAGUGUUAGGGGGUUUCCGCCCCUUAGUGCUGCAGCUAACGCAUUAAGCACUCCGCCUGGGGAGUACGGCCGCAAAGGCUGA
RNAcentral lists this ribosomal RNA (379 nucleotides) under uncultured organism. Its description in RNAcentral is "partial 16S ribosomal RNA". It matches the Rfam family "Bacterial small subunit ribosomal RNA", at positions 527 to 897 of the family's 1533-position model. The record is from RNAcentral.